AGCAGGCGCGUAAAUUCCCCGAAUCCUGACACAGGGAGGUAGUGACAAGAAAUAACGAUACAGGGCUACAUCUAGUCUUGUAAUUGGAAUGAGUACAAUUUACAUCUCUUAACGAUGAUCAAUUGGAGGGCAAGUCUGGUGCCAGCAGCCGCGGUAAUUCCAGCUCCAAUAGCGUAUAUUAAAGUUGUUGCAGUUAAAACGCUCGUAGUCGGGUUUCGGGUCGGGCCGAGCGGUCUGCCGAUGGGUAUGCACUGUUUGGCGCGGCCUUCUUUCCGGAGACCGCGGCUACUCUUAACUGAGCGGGCGUGGGAGACGGAUCGUUUACUUUGAAAAAAUCAGAGUGUUUCAAGCAGGCAGCUCGCUCUUGCAUGGUACAGCAUGGGAUGAUAGAAUAGGACUCCGGUGCUAUUUUGUUGGUUUCGAACACCAGGAGUAAUGAUUAACAGGGACAGUCAGGGGCACUCGUAUUCCGUCGAGAGAGGUGAAAUUCUCAGACCAAUGGAAGACAAACCACUGCGAAAGCAUUUGCCAGGGAUGUUUUCACUGAUCAAGAACGAAAGUUAGGGGAUCGAAGACGAUCAGAUACCGUCGUAGUCUUAACCAUAAGCCAUGCCGACUAGGGAUUGGAGGGUGUUCGUUUCGACCUCUUCAGCACCUUACGGGAAACUAAAGUCUUUGGGUUCCGGGGGGAGUAUGGUCGCAGGGCUGAAACUUAAAGGAAUUGACGGAAGGGCACCACCAGGAGUGGAGCCUGCGGCUUAAUUUGACUCAACACGGGAAACUUACCAGGUCCAGACAUUGUUAGGAUUGACAGAUUGAGAGCUCUUUCUUGAUUCGAUGGGUGGUGGUGCAUGGCCGUUCUUAGUUGGUGGAGUGAUUUGUCUGGUUAAUUCCGAUAACGAACGAGACCGUAGCCUGCUAAAUAGUCCCGCGAACUUCUUGUUGGCGGCCGGCUUCUUAAAGGGACAACUUGUGACCAACAAGUGGAAGUUUGCGGCAAUAACAGGUCUGUGAUGCCCUUAGGUGCUCUGGGCCGCACGCGCGUUACACUGAAGCACUCAACGAGUCCACCUCGACCGACAGGUCUGGGAAACCUUUUGAAAUUGCUUCGUGAUGGGGGUAGAUUAUUGCAACUAUUAAUCUUCAACGAGGAAUUCCUAGUAAGCGCAUGUCAUCAGCGUGCGUUGA
This 1188-nucleotide ribosomal RNA is filed under the name Haptophyta environmental samples. RNAcentral describes it as "SSU rRNA". It matches the Rfam family "Eukaryotic small subunit ribosomal RNA", at positions 427 to 1644 of the family's 1831-position model. The record is from RNAcentral. Lineage: Eukaryota; Haptophyta.